UUGAUCCUGGCUCAGGAUGAACGCUAGCGGCAGGCUUAACACAUGCAAGUCGAGGGGUAUUUAUCUUCGGAUAGAGAGACCGGCGCACGGGUGCGUAACGCGUAUGCAAUCUACCUUUUACAGAGGGAUAGCCCAGAGAAAUUUGGAUUAAUACCUCAUAGUAUAGCAGUUUCGCAUGAAACCACUAUUAAAGUCACAACGGUAAAAGAUGAGCAUGCGUCCCAUUAGCUAGUUGGUAAGGUAACGGCUUACCAAGGCUACGAUGGGUAGGGGUCCUGAGAGGGAGAUCCCCCACACUGGUACUGAGACACGGACCAGACUCCUACGGGAGGCAGCAGUGAGGAAUAUUGGACAAUGGGCGCAAGCCUGAUCCAGCCAUGCCGCGUGCAGGAUGACGGUCCUAUGGAUUGUAAACUGCUUUUAUACGAGAAGAAACACUGCUACGUGUAGCAGCUUGACGGUAUCGUAAGAAUAAGGAUC
Molecule: ribosomal RNA, 480 nt
Filed under: Flavobacterium sp. DB1.2-16
Lineage: Bacteria; Pseudomonadati; Bacteroidota; Flavobacteriia; Flavobacteriales; Flavobacteriaceae
Description: bacterial SSU rRNA
Rfam family: Bacterial small subunit ribosomal RNA
Source: RNAcentral